RNAcentral lists this ribosomal RNA (375 nucleotides) under uncultured organism. RNAcentral describes it as "partial 16S ribosomal RNA". It matches the Rfam family "Bacterial small subunit ribosomal RNA", at positions 527 to 896 of the family's 1533-position model. The record is from RNAcentral.
GGAGGGCGCAAGCGUUGUCCGGAAUCACUGGGCGUAAAGCGCGCGUAGGCGGCCAGGUCAGUCAUUUGUGAAAUCCCGGAGCUCAACUCCGGGCGUGCAGGUGAUACUGCUUGGCUAGAGCAUGGUAGAGGCAAGUGGAAUUCCCGGUGUAGCGGUGGAAUGCGUAGAUAUCGGGAAGAACACCAGUGGCGAAGGCGGCUUGCUGGGCCAUUGCUGACGCUGAGGCGCGAAAGCGUGGGGAGCAAACAGGAUUAGAUACCCUGGUAGUCCCACGCCCGUAAACGAUGGGUACUAGGCGUCGGGGGGUAGCGACCCCGUUCGGUGCCGCCGCUAACGCAGUAAGUACCCCCGCCUGGAAGUACGGCCGCAAGGCUG